Suricata suricatta (meerkat) is the source of this 585-nucleotide long non-coding RNA. RefSeq lists it as uncharacterized. Lineage: Eukaryota; Metazoa; Chordata; Mammalia; Carnivora; Herpestidae. The record is from RefSeq and is a predicted model, not a curated record. The transcript is spliced from 4 exons.
UUACCUGAGGACAACCGCAGCCUAAAAGCGAAAGACCCUCCUUCUGACGAAUCCUCAGAAGGCGAAUAGUCAUCUAGGUUUACGUCACAAGGCCUACGUCAUUCACCUCACUUCCUCUCUCUCGGUGGCGGGCGUUUUGUCAUUCAGGUAUUCAGAAGAAAGACCAUUAUAUUGCUCAACUACAUAAUUUCUGUUGGAACAUAAGGAAGUGGACAAGCAGAGGGAAAACUUGAAAGAUUAAGAAUCCAAGCCCAAAUCCUUCUGGCUCCAGGAUUCAAGGCCUUUCAUCAAAGAAACCCAACAACCUGGCUGAUUCGAACUCCUGUGUGCUGUGCUCGUCAAAGCCUGGAACGAGAGCAUUCUGCCGUCAUGGAGGCAGCCAGACUUAGGAAACACGAACACUGUGGAUGGAAGAUGGGAGGAACCAGAACUUUCACGCACAGGGCUGAGCUGCCAAAUCACCACCUCUGAAACUCUGUCUUAUGUAGCCUUUCCAUUAUAGUCUGCCUUUCCCUGAUGGUGGUUUUCUCCCUUUCCCCCAUCACUUAUAUAUAAAGCAAGUAAGUUUGAAAGUAGGAUACUGAA